UUUUUUUUUUUUUUUGGUCCUUACGAUAGAAUUUCUAUAACCUAAUCUAUGGGAAGGGAGAAAAGGGACUCGAUGUGAAUAGAAACUAUAUCGAAAAAAAUCAAUUAAAACCGCCACAUGCAAUGACAAAUUGGUGGGAAGCAAGAGUUGAUCUCCCGUACCACCAAAACUUAAGUCUUUGGUGGUGACCACCAUGCCAAAUGCCUAGUGGCACAACGAGCUAAUAGAUAAGGUUCAAAUAUACCAACAAGACCUAAAAGUUUGAAGAACCAAUUGAAUUGUUUUAACGUUUAGGCAGCAAUUUGUGUACCUCAGACUGAUGAAAGUAUGAUCCAACAUCAUUUCUGCCGACGUCAUCACAUGUGCAUCAGAAGUUGAUUUGCGUCACUCUCGCUCAAGUUCGCUCCUCCGAGCGCUGUCUCUUUUGUUAAUCUAAGCAUUUGUUUCCCUUGUUAUCAAUUUCGAUACGCUUGGUUGCUUAAUUUUUUGUUCUUAGCCCAAUAAACUUAUUUUUUGAGCCCUUCAAUUUAUACUAUUAAAAAAAAGUACAAAAAACUUUAAAGAAAAUAUUUUUUUUUUAAUUCUUCGCCAGAUUUAGUCCCUCAUGUUAUUUAUUCGCUUGACAUAUUUCUGGUCCACUUAUUGAGUUGGAAUAAGUUGUGUAUUGUCUGUUGUUUUGAAACAAUAGUGUGUUUGGACAGUAGAUUAUUUGAAAUAAAUUUUUUAAAAAAUACUAUAAUACUUUUUUUAUGUGAUAUAUGUGAAAUAAAAAGAUGAUUAAAAAUGUGUUGAUAACGUAAACAAAUAAAAUUAUACAAAUAAUUUACAAUCCAACAAAUUAUCAUAAAAAUUAAGGACCAAUUAUAUAACCAUUAAAACACGAGGGAGAAAAGUAAAAUGAAUGCGAAACCAUGAACACAAAAAAUGCCACCGCUGAAACGGUAGGAACUAAAUUUUUAUUAAGUAGUCAAAAUAAGUAAAAGCGUAUGCCCAAGAAAUUAUUCCAUUUUAUUGAAGGGCACUCUAAAGCCUUGAAGGGAAUCACUGGGGCUAGCUUAAUGGCCAAGAGAUGGUCUUUAGAGGCCUUACACUGUUAGAUUUAAGAUUUGAAUCCAUAUAUGAUAGUUAGGGGUGGAAAGUGUGAAAGGGUUUUUUUUUUUUUUUUACAGGGAGUUGGGGAGUACGAAAUUACGUUUCCGUUUGGAUUGGUCUAUUUUUCAAAACUAGUUUUUUAAAUAUAAUAUUACAAUAAUAUAUAAACAAAAAUAACUCUAAAAACAUCUCAUCCAUAUAAUAUAUAAAAAAACAACUCAAAAGUAUAUUUUUAAAAUAUUUAAAAAAUAAAUUUUACAAAAUUUUCCAACUAUCACCACCACCACAACUAUUUCCACUCAACACUACCACCAUCCCCUUUCUCCUCCCUUCUUCCUCCUCCUCUCUCCAUUUCCUUCUUCCUCCUCCCUUCCCUUUUCUCGCCACCCCCGGUCCUUCCCUUUCCCUCUCUUCCCCGAUCUAGUUGUGACUAGAUUGCCGCCUUUGGUCGAUCGGGAGGGAGAGGAGGAGCGAGAGGUGGCGGGGAAAAGGAGGGAAGAAUGAAAAGGGAAGGUGAAGAUGGGAGGAGGAGAAAGAGUGAAGGAGAGGGAGAAGGAGGAAGAGAGAGAGGGAGGAAAAAGGAAGAAGGACGAGAUAGUAGUAGUUAUGGAUGGUAAUAUUAAUUUUCAGUACUCUAAAAUUUUUUUUAAUUUUGAAGGUACACUAAAAUAUAUUAAACUUCUCAAAAAAUCACAAAAAAAUCUACAAUAAAAGUUUUUUCCUAUAUACUAUUACAGUAAAAUAUUUCAAAAAUACUAAAAAAAAAAUAGCUAAUUCAAACUUAGCAUACAUUUUUGGGUUCAAGGAACAAAGAAAUAAGAAAUUGCUACACAUGAAAACGUGAUAAGUCAAUGGAUUAAUGUUCGGCCCAAAUUUUCUAAAAGAUAUGUCUCUGGGUUUAUCUAAGUCGACUUUUUCAAGAACAGAUUUAAAGCCCAAUAUUGACCCGCUAAUACCUAAGCAAAAGCUUGGCGAAUUUUGUCGUUCCGCACUGCUUUGCACCGCACCUUGUUUUCAUUCACUAAAGAGUGAGAAUCUGCAGAAGGCGAAGAAGAGAAAAGAAGAUGGGGAAGAAAGCAAAGAGCUCAAGGAAAGGGAAGAAGGCAUGGAGGGCCAACAUAAGCACCCAAGAUAUCGAAGACUUCUUCGAGAAGUCAACCAAAGACGCUCUCUCCGGCGGCUCACUCGCCGACGUCCCCAGCGACUCCCUCUUCUAUGUCGAUAAGUCCAGAGGUACCAAAACCCGAUCCCCUUCUUCUGACAUCAUUUAUUUCAAGCUUCAUAUAGAGGGGUUCUUUUCUUUCUCCCCGUUUUUUCAAUUAUUCGAAGCAGGAGGACAAAUUUAAUGCAUUCUUAACUUUUUGUUAAAGCCUAUUGGUUUAGUUGUUUGUUGAUUAAUAAGUUGUAAUGGUUGUAUUAUUUACGUCGAUUAAAAAGGCUUGGGACGUUAAGUGAGUUAAGCUAUCGUGAGUUUUCCCGGGUGUAAAUUUCUUCAAGUAUUUGUUAAGUCUUUUUCCUCCCUUUAUGAUUCUGAGCUGCAGAAUGUUGUUUUAGUAAUUAGUUCAUACGUGAAAAUCAUGUGUGUACUGAAGAAAAGCUGUAGGAUUAAUCUGAAUUUGAAAUGAUAAUGUACAUUACUUGCAAAGUGAAUGAUCAUUUGGAGCAGCUUUGGGAUGACUUGGGUAGGGUAAAGAUUGUCUUUUCAUACAUUGAUUAAAGUUGUCAAACUGCUUCUUUUAGUUUUAGGGCCCGCUGGAUCCAGAAUAAUCGUUGAUAAAUUAGCUAAAAGAUGGUUUUGUGCUUCCCUCUAUUCAUUAACCGUAUUCUGGUUGAGCAAGUCUGUGUAAUGAGUCAUAACAUGUAUUAUAUGGAUUCAGAUCUUUCCGUCAAGCGAAAGAUUGAAAAACACAGGGAGAAAGUACUCCAUUCUGAUAGUUUACUGCAAAGGAAUCCCUUUGUCCAAACGAUACCAUCUUCAAAACAGAAAAAGUCCAAGAAGAAGAAUAAAGAGAUCCAAACAGCAAAAGCUGCUGCUCAAGAUUGUGAAAAGGUGAGCCUUGUCUGUUGUGGCGAUCAAAUAAAAGAGUAUGGAUGAUACUUUGUUAGCUUACUGUCAUCUACAUUUUGCCAGGAUAGUGGUGUCUCAGAAUCUGGCAUGGUGGAUAUAUGGGAUGAUAAAGGUCCUGCUCCUUAUUGACAAACUCUCUUAGUUCCUAUGGUCCUUUUCCUUUUGAUUGAGAGUAGAAUAUAUUAUUUACAUAAGUUCAUGCAAUUUUGCAGGUGAAAGCAAUGGCAGAAUUAAAAAGGUACAAAUCUCUUGCUGGUUGAAAUAUUCUAAAAAAGUGUUACUAGAAGUAAUAUUCUUCCUUUUUUAUCUCUCAAGGACACGGGCAUAUAUUUGUCUCUGUUGUGCUGUAUAAAAUUAAGGUUAUAAGUCGUUUUCUGUUCUAUAGAAAUGAGUUUCACUCCAUGCGUGCCAUUUAUAACAGUUCUAUUAAAAUAUCUUAUGGUAUUGUGGCUUAUCAUAUACCGCCAUGACAGAAGCCCAAGCCUUCCAUUAUACCUGCUGUUGAAGUUGAGGCUCCUGGAUGCUCAUUCAAUCCCUCCUUUGAAAGUCACCAGGUGGUUCUAAAUUUCAAUCUCUAUAUGUUGUUUGUAUGUUGAUCUACUGCUGCAAACCUGCUACUUACAACUGUCUUUUGGAUCCAGGAUUCAUUAGCUUGUGCCGUUGCAGAUGAAAUGCAGAAAGUCUACCGAAAUGAAUUGGGGCCUGCACCUGUCCCUCUAACUGUUACUGGAGAAGUUCUUAAUGAAGAAGAUGUGAGUAUAAAUUUUGUCAAUUGUCAGCUAGUUUGCUUGUGGUUGAUUACCCUUUUUUGGUUUGUCUUUUUGUCUAAUCUCCCAUAUUCCUGAGAAGAUUAUGUCACUUAAAUUCCACUGUCCAGAUGCUUUUUCUUGAGGCUGACACUGGAUCUGAUGAAGAGAAUCAAAGUGAGAGCGUAAUCGAGGAUGGAGAUAUGGAUCCUGAUAAGAGGUCUGGUUCUUUUCUUCUGUUUUAACUGUAAAGUCCCUAUGGUUGCUUUAUAUUUUCUUUAGCAUAAAUGUCCAACCCUUUUUUUUGGGGGUCCAAACCGUUUUACCAUUGUUAGUUUCUUUUUAUUUGUCUAUCAUCAGAAUUUUGGGUGGUCUCAAGUCCUUUGUUGUUAAUUUUCUAUGGUUUUGUUAUCAGUUUCUUCCCGAUGCUCGUUAUUCUUAUCUAGUUUACCAUACAGUGCAAGCAUAGUAAUUAAAUGCAGUACUGAUUUGGGAAGGUUUGCAGGUUCCUGAUGUAGUAAUCCUUGUUUUCUUGGCCAUGUUGUUGGUGUCUUGUUUUGAAUUUGGUUGCAUGUGCUUGGUUAAGAAAGGGCUCUAAAGUUUGGUUGGAUACUGUUUGGUGUAUUUUGGGCCUUGUUUAGAGUCAUAAACAUUGAAGUGAAUCAUUAGAUGUGAUGACCAAGAGACUGGAAUGAUACCUGAACAACUCAAACAUAACAUGACAGAGCUUCUACUCCUAAGUCUGUGGAUUUGGUAGGAUGGCUUAUAAAUGAAUGCGAUAUUUCUGUUGUCACACCAUUCAAGGGUUGCUAAAGUUGAGCAUGCAACCAGACAUACAGCCUAUUGGAUGAAUUCUUUGAAAGAAAAGUUUCAGAUGGUAGUUUCUGAAUCAUAUUUUGAGCAUACUUGUUAAACAACAGUCAGUAGUCUGAAUGGUCAUGUAAACACAUUGAUGUCAUAAUGAAGCUUUGGUCAUUGUGGUAAAACAGAUCUGCAUCCCAUGCCUCAUAUCUAGUUGGCUGAUCAGAAUGGGUCACUAUACCAUUUUGUACAUGUUUUCUACAUUACCCUAACAAUAAUCUUGGUUGAGUAGAUAUUUAAUUAGCUUUUGUGAUGGGUUGAUACUAUUGUUAGAAUAUGGUGUUGUAUUUAUUUCAAAUCAAACACACACUGAAGUAUAAAUCUUGUCUGGCAUGUGUUUUCUUGUUAAGAAACCUCAUCUUGUUGACUCAGCUCAGAAGACUUUAGCUUCACUCAACAUCAAUCUCAUUAAAGAUUUGAAAAUCUGCAGGGCUCUUAAAGCUAAACGGGUGACAAGAGUUGAGCUAAACAGGAGGGCUAGGCGCAAAGAGCAGCUGAGAGCAGAAGCAGAAGCCAAAAAAGUGGAGAAACUCUCAUCUGAAAUUGAUAGGUAGCUUAACUUGUUAACAUCUGAAAAUUUUCUUUAAAAAAUGAUAAUUUGUUCCCCCCCCCCUCCCUUCUCUUCUCCAGGGUCUUUUGCUAUGACUAUUUACCAUUCAGGAUACUGUUGCGCUAACGAGGCUCAUUUAUUCUGCAGUUUGCCAGACAUUAUAGAAGAAAUAGAGAAAGAGGAUGCAGAAAAACAGAAAAGACAUCUCCGUCGUGCAGUUGCUAAACAAGAAAGACUAAAAUCUUGUCCACCACGCUUGGGAAAGCAUAAGUAUGAUGAUUUUCAUAUACGCUAUAUGACCUUGUGAACGUCACUUGUAUUUUUUCCUUUAGACAUUUUGUGGUUUGAAUGCUGAACUGGAAAGUUCAGAUAAGUGCACUGGUCCUGGACGCUGCUUAGUGUCCUUGGAAAUGCCAAUGCAUCAUUCUGACAUGAAAUUGAUUUGAACUUUUUGCUACUUUAACUUGUAGCUUAGAUGAAGACUCACUAGCAUUAUUCUUUCUCAGAUUUGAGCCAGCUCCAGUUCAAGUGCUAUUAUCUGAAGAAAUCACUGGUUCUCUUCGAAAGCUCAAGGUUUUGCAUUUGACUUGAUUAUUCUAGUGAAUGGUUUCUUUGGUUAAGUUUUCUGUCAAAUAAGUUUUGGAUUUUAUUCCUUAGGACUUGACCAUUCUAUGUGGUUUUACUCAUCUCUUUGUGGCAAAUAGGCCUGUUGCACUCUUGCACGAGAUCGGUUUAAGAGCCUUGAGAAAAGAGGACUCAUAGUCCCAAGCAAGAAGAGCAGCAGGUAGGCAACUCCAGUCGAUUAUGUUUUGCAUCACUAGUUAUGAAUUAACUAUAAGAAGAAAACAUUUGAUCCUUUCAAAAAUUUUCUCGUGUUUUCCUCAUAAUUUUCUCAGUCAUCAACUCUACUUCUGCAUCCAAUAAAUUGCUUUCCCGAAUUCUUGGAAACAAGUUGACUGAUAUAUUUUUUAAAAAAACAUCAUGCAAUCCCAAUUGCAAUUCUAAAAUUACUUUCACAUUCCAUACUGUUGAAACUAAUUUCCUGGUUGGUUAUUGGAUAUUUUCAUCUGCAACUGCACUGUUUUAGCUGUCCUGCCAUCUGCGUCAGAAAAGAAAAAGAAGGGAAGAAAAUGUGUGCCUAUAGUUUAUAUUGUUAAUGGUGAUAGAACUUUGUACGUCUCGUGCAGGAAAUAGGAUGGCCUUCUAGGCGGACCUGGAAAGCUUCACUUUGGUGGCUGAAUUUGGAUUGCCUUUCAGCGAAGCGAUAGUUAAGUCAGUACAGAGAAGCGGAAGGGAAGUGCCGUUCCGACAUGCCCUCAUGUGCUUGCUUAUUUCCGAGUGGUUUUCAGUUCUUAGUUUUACGGAUAUGUGAAAUUCUUUUCUAUUUAGAUGUAACCGAGUCCCGUGUCAGUUCCAUUGGAUCGUUGUUCAUCUUUGAUUCAGAUGAAAUCUAGUAGUACCAUCUCCUUCUCAUUCAAGGCCUUCCAUUAAGCAAAUGCAAUGUAUUAAGUUUCUGAAUUCUAUACCAAGCUAACAGGUGUCAGUUGUAAGUCUAUCAAUCGAGCUUUGGAGAUGAGAAUAUUAGCGAUUACAAUGAUGAGUCUAUUCAUCAAUUCCUAAAGAAGCAAGAAACAAUUUUGGUGAGAGUUCGCAAAUUUGCACCGUUGCUGCAUUAAUAACUUCUAAUAUUAGGACUGAAACUGUACGAGGUGUGGAUUUAAGGAAGAAGAUUAUCAGCAUUGAGAGUGUGCAGGGGAUCUAAGGAAGAAAAGGCAUGGAUUUAUCAUUUAUCGAAAUUUUCAAGCUACGAAAUUCCACUUAACUUCGUACCGUAAAUACUUCACCUACGGGAUUUUCUUUCUUUGCCACUGUACAUCUUCUUCUCCAAAUGCAAAAACACAAUUGUCUCCCCAAGAAUGAGGACCGAUGUAAUUCUUCGUUCAAAUUUUUCAUGACAAUCGAAUAUUAAGUUAGGUCUUUGUGGGAUGAGAAUGAUAAAAUGGAAGGGAGUGUAAAUGAGAAAUCUUGAGUUGAAAACUUUUUAAUUAUCUAAAAAAAAAAAAUAGAGUUUGGCUUGUGUAAAUAUUUCCACAGUCCUUGAUGGUAACAGAAAAUUCUAAGCGGGUAGUAAUAAAAUCGAAUAAAUUUUCCUGUUUAGGACUUAUAUCGUGUCAGGAGUUAGGACUCGAUUAAAUUUUCGACUACUUAUUAGUGCAGAGGGUCAAAGUGAGGCUAGCCUUCCAGCCUGACACCAACACUGGAUAGCCGGCUGAGUUCUUUCUCAAUCACUAGUUACAAGAAAAUCUUUGAUUUAGAAAGAAACAAAGUUGUAAAUAGUCAAUUUGUUGUUUUCCUCCAAGAACCACGAAAUUUCAGGAACAUUACACAGUAAAACUCGAGAGAUUGUUGGGCAUCAGGAUGCGUAUUUUAGCAGCGAGGCUCAGCACUGUAAGCCUCCUUCCCCUUCUCUAUAAUUUACUACUCAAUUACUCUACUUUUUUUUUUUCAUAAUCGUGUGAGUACAUAUUUCAUGUGAUUGAAUAUUUUUCUUUGAUCUUUCGGGUGAAUUUUAAUGCAGUACCUAUGUAGAAGAAACCCGUUAAGUGCUCAAUCUCGCAAUUUGUCUUCAUUUCACGGAAGAGGUAAACUUUCUUUCGUCUUGCUUUCUGGGUAUUUUUGGUUUUUUUCAUUUCCCGUGGCUGAUUGCCUGAUGAUGCAGUUGUUGUAUUGAAAACCCUGACAUAAAAAAGCAGCUUUUAAUUAUUCUCUUACCUUACAAUUUGCACAUGAUUUGAUUGAAGAUUUUUUUUUAAGUAGCAUUUCACGAUUAUAUAAAAUGACAGCCUCUAAUUCUCGUGUAGAAGUAGAACUCUGCCGUACAAGCCUCUAAAGCAUCAUGUUUUUGAAGAUAGUUCCUUUUCAGAUUGCAUUGAAAGAAAAAUGCAAACAGUGGCUCCUGUCUUUGUUUGCCCGAAUAUUGCGUUUUAAUGUGUCUACUGCCGACAUACAAUUUUCGAAAGCAUGUAUUACCAAAUCCCCAGUCAACAUUAAUCAUCUUAUUUGGCAGCAACAGUCAUUUGCUAUAUCGAUUUAUGCAUACAUAAGAAAAGAAGGGGAUAAGGUUUGGCUUGUAGAGCUUGGCUGUAUCGGCCUCUGAUUGCUUUGGCUACCCUUUAUUAAUCCACCCUGUGGAAUCAGAUGAAAGAUCAAUUGAAGAGGAAGCAGAACGGAAAAUAGGAUGGUUUUUGAAACUUAUCUUUGCUGGCACUGCAACCGUUGUGGCUUAUCAGUUCCUCCCAUACAUGGGUAUGUGUAGAUUGAAUGAUCCAAGUUCUAAAAGUGAACAUCCAUGAUAUCAUACUUUAAUUGGCUUCCAAGGUUAUGACGUUUGAAUAUUAAAUUGUUCUAGGUGAUAAUCUGAUGCUGCAGUCUGUGUCACUUUUACAAGUCAAGGAUCCCCUAUUUAAGAGAAUGGGAGCUUCCAGAUUAGCUCAUUUUGCAAUAGAUGGUAACGUUUGGAGCAACUGCAAAUUGUUUAGCAAUGAGUUGCUGAUUUACUGCCAUGCUUCUGUUGCCUGUUUAGUGCCUGUUAAUGCUCUUGAUGGUGGUCAAACUUCUUCAUCAACCUAUACUCCACUUAGGCAUCUUCUAUUUGAUUCCUUGGAUCCUUGUUGUCAAAAUUUUAGGUCAAGAUUUUCCAGUGACGGACUGCUGCCAUAUAUAAAGGUUUUAUGUUGCUUGAUAAAUUAUCUUGACUAGUAGUUAUUUACCUCAAAUCUCUAAAUUCAAUGUAACCUCAUUUUGUUUGGGUGGCCUAUGUUGUAAACAAUAGAUGUCUUGUUCUUUCCUUCUUGGCCUAAGUUGCACUAUCAAAAGAAAUUGAUCAUUUGCAACGGGAAUAACAAUUAGGGUGGUUAAUUAAAUGUUUUGAUCUUUGGAUUUCCAGAUGAAAGAAGGAUGAAGAUAGUUGAGAUUGGUGGGGCUCAAGAGCUUCUGAACAUGUUGGGAACUGCUAAAGAUGACCGUACACGAAAGGAAGCAUUGAGGGCACUUGAUGCCAUAUCAAAAUCAGGUUAGCCGAGUAAGAUACCUGUAAUUUGUUAUGUUUCCAGUAUGGGAAGUGUUUGAGGUUGUGUUUUUGGAAAUUCUCGAAUGCCUUUUGAGAACUCUGGUUAUUGGAAGUGUUUUGGCUUGUGUUUUUGGAAAUUCCCGAAUGCCUUUUGAAAACUCUGUUCUGGACCUUGAAUUCUGAACACUCUGUAUUGAUUUAAGAAACUAAUGGAUUCAUGAAUGUUAGUUGGAGAAACCGUAAGAAUGUAUUGUAGCUAGAGUAUGUCUAAUUGGCUUGUUAGUUAAAUAUAGUAGUGAUGAAUGGUUUGGUUUAAUUUAUCUUGUAUAAAGCUGUGAGGUCCAUUCCUCCAAGUGGUGUAUUAAAUAUUUCAUUUUGCAAAUUGGCUGAGUUUUUAGACUGCGGGUCAUGUAUGGAACCUUAGUUACAGUUCCUGAUGAUUGACAUUCAAGAGUACUAUUUCUCGGUAAGACCUUAUCACGAAUAGCUUUUCAUGACACAUUUUUGUAGGUUGUUAAAGACGUUGGAAAAAGAAAUGGGUGUGUAAGAUGUAAAAGUUGUAGAGUAAGAUUUUAUAUUGAAAGUAACACCAAGAGCACCCACCUAAUUUGGUAUCCAUAGUCUUAAGAGAUGCAGAGGACUCUUGGCUGUAAGUGAAGUUGUUGGAGGAUAAGUUCCAUCUAAAAAGUUUGAGGAGAGUGUUUGCUGAUGACAGUAAAUUAUGAGGUCCGUGACUGCAGAGCGGAAUAAGUUCCUCUUGGCAUCCAUAUGGCCAUCUGUACUAUAACUACGCAUUAGCAUAAAGAUGAGCCAUUCCUGAGUUCCUGCCUGCAUUUUCUGUGAUUUGUUUCUCAAUUUAUUGCUUUCAGGUGUUCACAUACACAUUAGCAUGCAAUGACAAUAAUGGUAUUUAUCUGUUACUAUGAGAUUAGAUAUGAGUGACAUUGGAUAUGAGAAGUUCAUCUUUAUGGUAUAUCUGGUACAGGCUUAACUGGCAGAUUUACUUUUUUGGAAACCUUUCGUGUGUAGUCCUCAAUUUUUAACUUCCAACUUCUGAAUAAGUUUUUUCAUGCGUAACUUUGCAUAUAUCUAUUAUGGAAAAGCAUUUCAGAUGUCUUUUAGUUACUAAUUUUUAUACGUUGUACAUAAUAAGCUAUUUGUACCAUGUGGGGUUAUUAUAACAGCAAUUGGACUGCUCUACUGCAGAUGAAGCUCGUGGCUCUUUACGAAAAGCUGGAGCCAUCUCUGUCAUCAGGUCCAUCCCUGAUUCUGCUGAAGAUGCAGAGGUCAAGAAAUUCAAGCUGAGCCUGUUGGAUAGAUUCAAAGAUCUGAGUUAUGAGGAUUGAUUUCAAGAUUUGAAACAGGACUUCGAAUCUCUCUCUCUCUUUUUUUUUUUCAUCAGCCCCAAGUUUUCAUCAGCUUACUUGUCGGAUAUCAUAUUUAAUAUAGCGGAGGGAAGUGGACUGGAUGUUUCUUGUUUAGCUGAUGAUAGAGUUGCACACUCUCAGCUUCUUAUCAAAAAUUAAUUGUAGAACUGUUCUAAUGUCAGAGGAUGUGCUGGAUUAAUACGUCUCAAUCUGAAAUCAAGAUUUUCAAGGUGAAAUUUCCUCUUGUUCUCCUCGCACUUGCAGUGUACUGGUUGAAUAUUUUGCAGGUAAUUCUAAAUUAUCUAUUAAGAAAGUGUUCUUGCAAUGUCUCUGGGCAUUUCUUUUAUGCUGCGUUUGAGGGAUUUGACAAAGUAUUUAUAAUUUUCUCACAUCCUUCUAGGUUGUCUCGAUUAGCGCCGCAAACGAAUCGAACCGCUCACGAGCAGCUCGAGGCCGAACUGGACUCGAGUUCGGUUGACAUCGAGCUCGAGUCGAGUUCGAACUGAUCAAGUCGAACUUGAGUUCAAAGAUAUUUAACUCAUUAGUUCGCGAAUCAACUCGAUAAUAUAUAUAUAUAUAUUAAGAAUUAAUCUUUCCUGAUAUUAUUUUUUUAAAUUUGAAUUUGAACUUUACAUUUUGAUUUUGUCGAAUUCAAACUCGAGUUCGAACUUUAUAAAAUUAAGUUGAAACUCGACUCGAUUAGAUCAAGAUUCAAGUCAAUUCAACUUGUUUGCACUCUAGAAAGUAUUUUUGGGUUAUGGCUUUAAUUUUGCACGCAAGAUGGAAUUAUUGCUAAUGACGUGACAAAUUGAAGUUUGCCACAGUGCAGUGAUGGAUCAAUUUUUUCUACUGAAACCAUUCCGUGUGGAAUGGCUGGAGCGUCUUUAAUGUUACUGCAUAGAAAUUAUUCACCCGAUGCUCCGCAAGAACCAGAUCCAGAAGUGUACGAUGGUACACACGUUUGACUCUCUCUCUAGUUCACUAAAUUGGUUUUGUUGGGCAUCCCCGUUUCCCCUUAGUAUAGGACCUGGUGUAAAGGUGGGUUCUCACCUCCAGGUCUCAAAUGGUCCAGUUGGGCUUCAGCAUUCCCGUUUAGCGCAAAAGUAUCGUAUGUUACUCUAUGGGUUUCGUUUCCCAAAUUGAACCACGCGAUUUAUUGCUCUUGUGAUUUAACUUAUUAAAGGAGCAAGUGAAUAGGGAUUUGAUUUUUUUCACUUUAGAAUUUGAAUCCUGUGCCUGAUAAUUGACAAUUAAAAGGAGGUAGGGAAGGGUGGAAAUAUUAAAAAAAAGGGUGAGUAAGGAUUUAUUUGUCCGCACAAGUCAUCAAAAAAAAUUUUUUGUUAGAAAAGGGUGUAAUCAAAUCUAUUUAUGUUUAAUCUUUGUAUCUCCUCCAUGAAGAUCCAACAACAUAUCACAAGUUCUUUUUUCCUUGAUGAGAUUAAAUACUAAAAUUGACCCCACAAUGAUGGGAUGAGUAUAAACAAAUUACUUUUUUAUGAAAAAAUAAACAAAUUACAUGGAAUACAAAUAAUUCAACAAUAAUCCACACAACUAAUAGGAAUAACAACCAUAUAUAGUUGGCGAAAAUAUUAACCUACCUGUCAAGGUCCAGAUUGCAAACCCCAACCUUGGUCAUUUCAGAUAUCCUGCCCUUAUGCAUGUUGGGCCUUUUUGGUUAUUUGAUUCUCAAAUCAACUGGAUUGUCUGUAAUUUUCAAAAUCUCCGGGGUCCAUAAAAAAAGAAAAAAAAUCUCCGGUGUCCCGAGGUUAUGUAGACAAUAAUACCAGCAUAAGAGGAUUUUGAAACAGCUAAAGUUACACGCGGCUAAAAUCAUUACAAAGUGAGAGAAAUUGGCAUUGGAAGUGAAAGACGGCUGAACGUAUGCACCUCGUAAAAAGGACAUCAUCAAUAAUUACCGAAAAAGACAUGACUUGAACCGAAAAAGAAAAUGAGUGUGCAGCUCUUGACCGAUCACACGUCAAAUAAUUAGAACUUGCUAAUAGCAUAAGUAUAAUAAACCAGCAAAUGGCUUUCUUUUACUUCCUCACAUCUUUGGGCCUCUUGAGAUGAGUAUAUCCCCAUAUGGCUUCUUCUGCUGAACUCUGAUGACGUCUUGGGUAGCUAGAACUGCCAGCAGAAUUGCCUCGUCUUAUUUUCGAGUAGACAAGAUGCGUUACAAAUUGAAUACGUUUCAAAAGGAUGACAAGUAACAAGCGUCCAAUGAAACAUACCACAAGUCCGUAAGAAAAGAGCUGCUGCCCUUUUCUUAUCCAUUCCUCUAGCCAGCUGGUUCAAAGAUUCUGCUUCAGAAGAUCCUGGUGUUUCAAAAUGAGCCUUCAGCUGCCUGUAGCCGCCAUGUUCCAAAAGAGAAUGAAUUACACAAACUAUAUACUCAUAGUCACGAGUAAAGAGAAGAAGAUUAUUCAAAAAUAUGAUUGCAAAAUCUUGCAUUUGAAUCGAACGAGUGAUCUGAUCAUUAGUUUGACCAGCAAUUGGAUGUUUCUGGGUUUGCGUUGGUCCAGUUUCCACCAUAAGUUCUGCAAAGAUAGACAGCAACAUCAUAUAACACGCAUGCAAAAAACAACGGCUAAAACCACCAAAAUUAGCCAAUUAGGAAGGGACUCUUGAUAAUUGAUCACCAUUAUCUGGUAUAAGACCAUUUUCAGAUAGUCUAGACAACUUGAAGUUUGGAUGCGACGAGUUCUCCUCUGCCACCGGUUCAAGGCCAUAAACUCUGUGCCUAGGUGAAGAGUGUGGUCUUUUCAUGUUGGACCUGAACAUUUGUUUAGCUUUAUCAGUCCCUUUUUAGCACAAAAUAGUUUGAAGCCGCACGGCAUCCCAAACAUUUUGUGCUUUUAUCUUGCAAUUUUAAUUACAGUCUGCCUUAAUACUACUGACCUUGCCAAGUUGACUUCUGAAUCAUUUGACAGGAAACCAUGACCAGACCCUGAGCUCGGGAUCGAUCUUACUUCAUCACCUGCAUAUUCCAGUGAAACAACGUCGCGUUUGUCAGGAGUGAAAACAAAUCAUCCCAUAGGCACGAGAAAUAAGAACUUGGAUGCAAAUAUACUGGAAUCUCCUGGUGUUGCCAUCAGGUUGCUCUGACUGAGGCCCCCUAUGUAAGCCCCAGAAAAUGGCACUUUGGUAUUUGCAGUAUCAGUUCCUAUCUCCUCCAUAAGAAUUUCAGGUUGCAUGCUUAUGUCAUGAUUUGUCCUCUGCUUCUCGAUGGAAAUUUCCUCAGUUUGAGAGCCAACACCACUAUGAAAAUCUCCAAUGGGCUUCACAUUCAAACACUUUGUUAGAUGCAAUCACAUAAUUCUUUUCCUAGAAGUUUAAUAUAUAAAAGCAGUGGCUUACAUAACCAAGUGGAUCUCGUUUAUGUAUUCGUUCUGGUUGAGAUGACGAUGAUGGAUCAGGGGGUUGAUGUGUCCAAGUCCCUCCUGUUUGCAAGAGAAUGUUAGGUUCAAGCUUUUGGAGGGAGAUCUUACAUAAUCAUGUCAAAAAACCCACCGGAAGCUGAAUCAUGAGCUGGCUGGGUACAUUUUUUCCAUAGUUCAAGAAGAGGAGCAGGAAAAUGCACUUCUCUGUUCCCAUAAGUGAAUAAUCCAUCAUGUAGAACGGUAAGAGGAAGUUCCGUGAUAUUUGCUAUCUUCCUUUUGGACAUGGCACCUGAUCGCUGCUAGAAACAUAAAAUGCUAAUUUUAUUUCUAGUAAACUUCAAAAAUAGAGAAAUCAGGAACCCACUAAUUUUAAAAUUCCAGUUAUUUCCUAUUGAAAGGAAGCAUUGUGUUUCUUUACACUAUUCUUUCUUCUUCUUGAGGUAAUAUCGGAGGUGUUCUGAAGCCAAGAUUGAUAUACGUGACCAGGGAUAAUGGUUUGCUCACAGUCCAUUGCCAUGGCAGCAGGCUGCCUUGCUCUCUUUCGAGUUGGACCUUGCCUUAACUGAUCCUGCUGAUGUAUAAAUAUAUUCACGUCUCAGAUUGAUAAAAUUCAUGUUCAGCUUCAUCAUCUAUUAUAUUCAUGAAGCAAAUUACACCACUCAAAAUGUCAAACACCUGAAGAACUUUCUUGUCUUUAGCAACCUGCUGAUUUACUUGGGCCUCAGGAUUGUGAUCCUGUACUUCAUCAGCUGCAAGAAGCUAGUGAUCAGUAUACUGAACAUCUUGUCUGUUUCUUUUCACCAAUAUACAAUUUAGCAUUGGAAUUGUUUUCUAUUUUCAUUCUUAGAACUUCACUUCCUCUCGGCAUAUAUAGUUCUCUAUCCGAAGAAAAUGUUAAGGAUCAAGACAAUUGGGUUCUAUAAUUCUUUAAUGUUUAGAAUAGACAUUUGGUUAGAAAAUGUUCUAAUUUCAGGAACAACUAUGCUACAAACCAAUCUAUUGAAAUCCUUAGCAAAUAUUGUUAUUUUCUAAAAAUACUUUCAGUUUUCCUUUCCUUGCUCUUUUUAAUUUCAGAAUAUCUCUUUGAAAUGCGCUACAGCCAUACCACUAAUUUUUACUCUUGCCCUUGAUAGCUAUUUCAAGAAAUGGAGUUAGGAGACUGCAAGUUCUCCAGUAGCAUUGUCAAAUGGAAUUGAAGAUUUUUAUGUGCAACCAUAGGUAAUAGCUGUUUAGGUUACAUAAUGAUUGCAAUAUAAAAAAGAAGCCUGUUUAUGUAGCACAUUUUCCUGUUACCUAUAUCAAAAUGAUUAACUCUAAUAUAGGAAAAAAAAAAACCAACAACAACAACAUUCUGUCCACUUUCCGUGGUGGUACAAGAACCUCAAUUUUAUAUCCUUAAGGAUACGUGCAGUUGCAAAUGCAUUACAAAUUAAGAUGGAGAAAGAAAAACACGAAGAUGAAAUGAUGAAGUUAUUCUGUAUGCAGAUGCUAGCAUUAGAAAGCAAACAGAAGCAUUUGCUGUUGCUUACAUGGAUAGGGUUUGUCUUGAGGAGGUGGAGAAGGUACAAGAGUACUAGGAAUAGUAGCAUGUUCUGAAGCUGCAAAGUUCAAUUGUGUGUCCUCAUCUCCUUCAAUAUCAAACCUGUACUUCCGUGCAAGGAAAUGAAGAAAAGUAAUAAUUCAGUGGUGAAGUUAUCAAGCAGCCAUUGAUCAGGCUGAAACUGCAAAUAUAAACUCAACUAUGGAAGAGGGCAUUUUUAAUUGAGAACCAAAUGAAACAGCUCAACUUGGAACUAAAGUUUACCUUUCAAAGCGGUUAUGCAUGAUUGUGUCUGCCAGAGAUGGAUCAUGGCUAUCAAAUAAAGUGAUAUCAGCUGGAUUAGCUGAGAAAGAAAAGGCCAAACCGACCCACCAUUAAUUGGAAAUUGGACGUCAGUUCAGCAGAAAAAUGGUUACUAUAUGCCAACGACAAAUUGCAAUGGAUCAAAGAUACCUUGAUGGUCAUCCUGGGGAAGAUCCUCCUCCGGAUUUGGAUUGAUGUAGGAAUCAUCCAUGUUAUCCAGCCUCUGCAGACAAAGUUUUAAGAGUUCAGCUCCACAUCUGAGCUAGAUGAAUUACACUAACGCACCACAUAAUAAAAGUUACUUGCACUUCCUGGUUAUGUUUUAUCAUUAAAGACAACUCACUUCACAUAUCCAAACAAGAUAAGCGAUGGUUAAUCAGGCUGGACAUUAGCCCCUCCAAACAGAAAGCUGAAUGAUGGGGUGUGGAUUUGUUAAAAGGAAGGAGAACAAUGAAGCUUUUCUUGGUCCACAAAAUUACAAUUGCUGGUCUUUAAGGGGUACAAACUAAAAGAGGAAGAACAACAAAAAAAUUCAAACACAAAGAGCAAAUGGAAGGAUAUUAAUACAAUCUUCCAGGACAGUCUAACUAGCAAACUACUAACACUGCCUCAGGAAUUCAUAAAUGACUUCAAACAAGCAGUAAAAAGAAAAAAGAAUCAUGCAGCUGGAUUAAUAGUUUCUGAAAAGAAACAAAAACUACAGUUAUUAUAUAAUUCCAGUAUCUUGACUGCCAAACUUUAUAAUGGACUAGAGUUGGAAAUCAUAAAGCUGCUAAACAGGCUAGCAUUUUGCUAAUGCCUAACGAGGUGUACGUAAAUGAUAGAUACUGUAUUUCUCAACUUCACCCAUUUCUAUUCCAAGGAUUGCAUAAAAUGUUAGUGAAGGCAUGUCCAUCCAAUCUCCACAUAAUAAUUCGUGUUGAUAACUUCACUAGAGAAUUUUAUCAACGUAUAGUCUGCUAAUAUUUUUUUCCCCUAAAUUGAAACAAUUAACUUAAAUUCCAGAUAAAGAAGCAUACACAAAUUCCCAAAAAAACUCAAUGAGGUCUGUAAAGCAGAUUUGCUUUAAUCUGUUCUCUACCAUUGAAAAAUAGGCAGUUUGUGUAAACCCCAUUGUUGUGGGCGCAUUAGAAUGUUGAAGAGUUUCCAUUUCUUCAAUAUCCUCCUCCCUAAUUGCUGGUAGAGUAAUGGAUUCAUAUCUGCACAUAUCAACCAAAUCACUAAAGAUCAGACCAAGAGAAAGGAGGAGGAGCAGAUAAACAAGGUAAGUGUAGCCUGCCAAUUUCAGCUAUGCAUCUGCUAAAGUGUCCCAUCCAAACAUUCUUUAACAAAUUAACAUUAAACUCUGCUUUUCUGUUAAGCUUCGUUUGGAUUGAGGAGUUCGAUGAAAGAUUUGAAAUCCAUCCACAUCAAUCUAGUUGUCUGAAUGGCUUAGAAGGCAUUUGAAUUUGUAACUCACCAAUUAUCAAAUAUUAUACACACUACGAUAAUUGGUCAUUUACAAAUUCAAGUACCUCCUAAGUAAUAUAAACAACUACAGGGAUUAGAGAGAAUUUCAAAUCGUUCAUCAAAUCCCUUGAUCCAAAUGCAGCCUUGUUGUAUUUUGCAAAUCAAAUUUUGUUUGAGAGCUCUCGUUCAUUUAGAAUCGCUACGCACUAGAAUUAGUUAACCAAUCAGAAGUAAAAGGUAUCUGUAAAAACAAGACAUUAAUUCUUAUAGACGCUGGAGAAAUGAACUCCUCUGAGCAAAUGCUUUAAUUACUGAUGUAUGGGAGACAGAAAUGGUGCUAACUUGGCUUGAGCUUUGCCCUUAGGCAAUACGGUUGGAUCUGAUACUAAUUGAACUUUCCAAGCUUGGUUUAAUUCCACCUGAGAAAAAUAUCCAGAUUACCGGAAAAACAUCUAUUUAGACAAACAUAAAUAACACAACGGCAGUGAAUACGAUAGAGCUGUAAUAUCAUAGUUUAAAUUCGCAACAAGCAGUGGAGGAUUGCUACUUUACCAGGAGACGAUUUACAUCAUCUGCAACUCAAACCAAAAACAACAGAGAAAACAUUAAUCACUAUUCUCGUAAAGAGGAGAAAAGAGAAGAGUUUAUGAAAAAUAUAAUCAACUACAGAGAUUUUACCGUAGAGGAGUUUCACUUUGCGUUCGUAGACGAUGACGACUCCACCUGAGAAAAUCGAUCAACAAAGAACAAGGCUCUGUUGUUAAGGCUGAAAUUUGAAAACAGAGCUCGAGAAAGUGAAGCUAGUCUAAUAUUCAGGUAAGUUCAUCUACCCAUGAGAAUACUGGAGAGUCUGAGAGCCAUUGGAACCGAUGGAUUCAAAAUCUCUUCACUGCAUUUAAUAACAAAAAAUAAAAUGCACAUAAUCAGCUACUAGUAAUAAGAUUAAAAUCAAUCGAGUGGAAGAACACUAAGAAGGAAGUGGGAGAAAUAAGAGAGUAACCAGAUUUUGAUGAUGUCGAGCUUGUCCAGUCUUUUACGGGUAAUCUUCUCUUUAGUCGUAGCCGCCAUCCUUCAAAUCAAAGCAGAAAAAAGGGAGAAAACGAGAUUAAUAUAAUCCAUGGACAUGAAUUCACUGAUAUAAAUGGAAGUGCAAAUAAACGCCAAAACAGAGUGUAAACAAGGAACGCAGGACUGCGUAAAUUAUGUGGAAAUUUGCGAAUUAUGCAAAGCAUAAUUUCAUGAUUGAAAUUAAGCAGUGGAAUGAAGAGAAAGAUGAAGUUGAAAUACUGUACCAUAUUUGGCCGAGCGGAGCUUUGCGAGCAAGGAGCUGCCUAGAGUAAAACAUUUUUGCUCCACUGCUUAAAACUUUUUAAUUUUUUUGUUAAAUAUAAAUUCACAGAACUUGAGAAGAGUUUUAAAACUGAGCUUUCGUAUAUAUAGUUGAUGGAAGAUUGCUUGGUGAGAAGGUUUCUCUAAUCUGCGUGCGUAUGCUUUGUGUGUGUGUGUGUGGAGACUGAGAGAGAGAGAGAUCAUGUCAUGUGGAAUGCAACGCCAUGCAAAAAGAAAUCCACUCUCAUAUCAUAAACGGAAUUUCGCGCCAACGGCAUCAAAAUAGAGACUCGCUGCAAACAUACAGCAUUGCAAUUUGCAUUGCAUCCAUGUGAUUUGUGGAGAUUUUAUUAGUAUUGAGUAUAUCGAAUCACCUUUACACGUGUUAGUUACACUAUAAGAUCUUCUUCAAUUUCUACACCACAACAUUUUUUUUCCGUCCGUCUUGAGAGUUCUGGAUUUGCCGAAUUUGAGCGCCAACGUACGCCGAUGCGAGGAAGGAAUGCUCCUCCGAGGGAUAGGGUUACUCUUGAAAACAAGCAAGGUUUCAUACCACCUGCCUUCCUGCCUCACACGUGUCCCCUCUUUUUAAUUGUUUAAUGUACAAGCAAGUGUCCACUUCACUCUUAUCAGUUAUCUCCCCUGUAAAUUCAGUCUUCUCUUUCUUUUCUCCAUUGGAUUUAAAUCCAAGACAUCACCCUCGGACACCAUCAAGGAUUCAGAUUAUGAACAAAGGAAUUGUAAUUGUACCCCUACUGGUGAUACAAACAAUUCAAGCAUUUGUUCAUUAGUUGAGGGAGGACCGGAGGGGCUCAGGAUGGAGAAAUUAGUUGAGGUAUCCGACCAAGAAAUUCGCAUAGAUUUUGCUCUGGGCUGCAAAUGCCGAGUCAAUCUCACUCUCACCUCACUCAUUCCCGCCGCCCCCGUGGCCUUCAAGGUCCAGACCUCCGCUCCCCACAAGUUCCUCGUCAACCCACCCGCUGGACUCCUCCCUCCCUUAUCCACCGCUCCCUUACAAAUCAUCCUCAAGCCCCAAUCCCUCCUCCCUCCCACCUUCCCCCGUUGUCCUUCCGACCGUUUCCUCAUCAAGACCGCCCUUGCACCCGACCUCACUCCCGAUUCAACUCACCCCGACUUCCUUACCUCCUGGUUCAACUCCGUCCCCCACCGCCCCACUCGCGACCUCAAGCUCAAGGUUGCUUUUGUGGGCCCGUUGCUUCUCCACCAUGCCUCCGGCAUCGGAGAUAUCGAAGCCGUCAGGAGCAUUAUCAAGCGCCAAAGGUCUGUGGUUGCUGAUCUCUCAACUCGGGAUGCUGAGUCCUUGUAUCGAGCCGCCACUCAGGCCAGGGAAAACUCGGAUGAAAUGGUUAGUCUGCUCCUGGAAGCUGGGCUGAAGGUUGGCGCCCGUGCGGGCUUGGAUGACGCGAGGUUGGCGUCGAAGGGGUGGACGGAGUUACACGUGGCUGCGGCCUUUGAUCGGAUGGACCAGGUUGAGAGGAUUGUGAGAAUGAAGGACCUUGGUUCGCUGGAUGGUAGAGAUAAGGAGGGAAGGACGCCGCUGCAUUUGGCGGCAAGCAGGGGACACUUGGGCUGCGCUAAGCUGUUAUUAGGUGCAGGGGCGAGCGUGGACGCGAGAUGCAGAGACGGUCGGACGGCUUUGUUUAGGGCCGCGGCGAAUGGACAUCGUCAGAUGGUGGACAUGUUAAUUGAGAUGCAAGCCAACCCAAAUAUAGCAGAAAAAGAUCUGGGCCGUUCAGCUAUUGAUGUUGCACGAGAUAAAGGACACGUAAGCGAUGAAUUGUCUACAGUCAACCACUUCAUUUCGCAAGGGCAUAGCCAUUGAUGCUUUUUUUUUUUUUUUCCUCUUGCUUCCUUUGUUACUAAAAUUGUAGCACGAUAUAAAGUCCGAAGUCCCAACUCAUAAUAUGAUGAAUUUGCUGAAAAUGCAGUUUGAGGUAGCGAGAGUGCUUGAGCGAGGCGAAGCAGUGCUUCAUGCUGCGAGACGUGGAGAAUUGAAGCUGCUUGAGUCACUGCUAGAGACGGGUGCAUCCAUGAACUUCUGUGAUCAGUAUGGUUUGACGGCAAUACAUAUGGCUGCUAUCAAAGGGCACAAAGAUGCAGUUAUGACACUGGUUGAAUUUGGGGCUGAGUUGGAAUGCCAGGAUGCUGAAGGCCACACCCCGUUGCAUUUGGCUGUUGAAGGUGGAUGCUUCGAGACCGUGGAGGUGCUGAUUAAUCGAGGAGCCAAUGUUAAUGCCAAGAGCAAGAAAGGUGCUACUCCUCUUUACAUUUCAAGAAUGAUGGGGUAUGAAGAUGUAUCACGCCUUCUCAGUGACAAAGGGGCUGCUUCUUCGGUUUCCUCAACUUCACCCUCUUCCGUACUGUUUUGACAAUGUAGCUGUGCGAUGGUACCAUUGAUUAUCUUGAUUCUGUGUCGGAUGCUCAAUCUCUCUAGUUUUAUCUCCCACACUUGCUAAAAAUCAUGAGUAAGCGUAUGCAGAUUGCAGAGCCUCCUCCCUUUGUAGGAUAUUAACUUACCUGCCUUGAAUCUUACUGCUUACUAUCAUUUCAAAAUGCCUAUUCAUCGUUUUACGCAAUUUUGUGAGAUCAACGAGGUAGCAUAAUACUGAUAAUAGCCAUAAAUAUGUUCCCCACCCCUCCCACUGCAAGUUAGCUAUUAGGAUAUAAGUAUAUGGGCAAAUUACUUAUUACCUCCUGUGAUUUUACAGAAUGCUAGAUGACCCCCUUAAAAUUUUAAAAUAACCACAUAACCCACUUGUGGUUUUAUGUAAAGUUAAAAAUAGACGGAAUGCAUAAUCGGUUAAGGCAUUCGAGGUUUAAAAGCGCAUGUGAUAAAAUUUUGACAUUCAUGCAACUCGCUUAUGAUUUAUAUAAAUAUCUACUUUACUGUCUCUCUACACUUUAUACAAGAUGGUUAAACCAUCCAUUAAUUUAGCAUUUAAGUAAGAGUAUUGUUGAUAUUUCAAUUAACGAUGUUACAUAGAUAUUUUUGGUCAAAUUUCAACUUUAUAUAAAACUAUAAGGGGUGACGUGGACAUUUUAAAACGUUAGGGGAUAAUGUGACAAUAGAUGAAACCACCUCAGAUUACACAUGUAAUUUACCCGAGGUAUAUUGAAGAAGCUGAGACAGAAAUAUACUACUACUUGAAUUAGAUAAGCAGAUUGAAGGAGAAGAGAUAGGCUAGUACUUGGUUUUAAUUCGUUAUCUUGAUCUAAGUAGUGUCGAUCUUUUGGCUGAGACGGAACAUUGGUGGCUUCCUAUCAGAAGACGAAAAGGUACUUGGCAAAAUGCUAUGCUGUGUCGAAUAUUACGCUGCUAUCUUUGAACUGUUGGUUUAAGCUGGUAGUUGUAGAUUUAUCAUUAUUCAUUCAAGCCAGCUUUAAAGGUGAUUGUGCCUUUAGAAUCUUAGUAGAACCUCUUGUAAAGGCUUGGAUGGUUUGUUCGGUGUCCUAGCUUCUGGACGAACUUACAGUAGCAAAUAGAGUCGAGAAGAUCUGGAGAGUGGAAGCAUCCCUUAUUCUUAUGUCCAUCGAUCAACUGAAGGAUACUAAUAUUGCACUAGUGCUAAUCUCAAGUUAAAAAGUGUGCUGUGUUAGUAAUAAUUGAUUCAAGAAGUUAGCGAAGUGUUACUGAGUCAUGUUCUCAACGCUCAGGUUGAAAGCUCUUGAACAAAAGUCCACCUGAUAGAAACAAUACAAUCCACAUUUGCUAUUAUACAGGAAAACAUACAACUCAACCACAACAAAGCUGAAAAAGAGAAAGACCUAUGACUUGUUUCCAACUAACUUGUAUAUAUUCGUAGAAAUAGCUAUGGUGCUUGUCACAACAGCUAGAAUGACCAUUGCUGCUGCUAUUAUUCUGUCCCUUCUUGUUGAAAUGCCGUGGAUAUCUCUGCCAAAGGGAGAAGUAAAAAAAACAAAUGGUUCAAUUUAACAGCGAAAUCAGAAACCAAGAAAACAAGGGCAAUUUCAGUUAAUCUUUUGCUUUUUCCCCUUACUAUCAGCAUAAGGUGGGUUCGGCAAUACCUUAAAGCAAUUACGCCUGGGAAGAUGAAGGCAAGGCAGACAGCAGAAGUUGAUCCCAUGAACUGAAAGAAGUACCAUAUACUGGGAAUGGCUAUUGCUGCAACGUAGGAGAAGCCUAACAAGACUAGAGUAAGAAUGACAAAUCUCUUGUUAUCUGUUGCCAAAACAGCCCUCUUAGGGAACAGAAGUUCAUCGAUGUUGGCCCUCAAAGAGAAGUUGACAAGUGGAAACACCAGCAUCAAAUGGAGUGCAUAGCUUAGUCUAACUAUGUCAUUGAGUAAUGAGCUAAUUGUUGAACCAGAACCUUGAUCAAAAUUCACCAGUAUGUCAUCCAUGACCGAAUCCCCAAAAAGGAGGUACCCGAAAAUGCC
This 23172-nucleotide long non-coding RNA is filed under the name Coffea arabica (coffee). Its description in RNAcentral is "long non-coding RNA (CARA_LNC001497)". The record is from RNAcentral. Lineage: Eukaryota; Viridiplantae; Streptophyta; Magnoliopsida; Gentianales; Rubiaceae.